GUUUUUUAGGCUUCUCCCUGCAACUCUUCUCCCUUAGGUUUCUGUAGGAACUAGACAACCUCUGCAUUGAGCUCUUUGGCUGUUGGAAUAAAAGCUGACAUCAUGCGCAGUUGUACUUCCAACCACACCAUUCAGAGGAGUCAGCGAAGUUGGAAAGACUACAGUGAAAGGCAGAAGCUACGUGAACUGUUCCAGUCAGCUUCAGUCUCCAAGAAGAAAAUUACUACAGAAUAUAACUACACAGCAGGAAAAAAGAAGUCAGUGCUUCACCAAAGGCUUGAUGCUCGUUCUGCCCAUGCAGUUCAGGAGAGGCUCCCAUUGUUGCGAAGCUUGUAGCUAUAGCAUGCAAGGAGUCACAUGGCAUGUGUCACAGCAGGACACCUUUCAUUGCAUGCCAUGGCAGUUUCUGUGGCAUCUGCCACUGUUCUCACUGUGCUGCUCUCCAAAGCUUCUUCUGCUGCAGUGCAAUCUUGCUAGGCACCAACACAAAGUCUGAGCAAAAGGAAGAGAAGUCGGAAGAAGCAGUUCAGCAACUGGAUGUCUCUAAUUCCUUUCUUUCUUAAACUGUGUGUACUCAGGUGGGAAAGGAUUUUAUUUUUCUUAGCUGAAAGAGAUUAUCAGCAGGCUUAAGAAUGUGAAAGAGUACCUUAAGCUGGAUGUGGAGCAGAUAAUAUUUUGGCUGUGAAAAUUCUAAGUAACUUUAACACAAAGUAAAUAUAUAGUGGUGUUUGACGUGGGCCAAUACGUGAUGUGUGAAAUGGCUGUUGUUCUUUGUUUUUAUAAAGUCCCUGUUAUUAUUGUGCUAAUGAUAGACUCAAAUGAAAAAAAGAUGGUUUGUUAUACCAUAUUUUAAACAAACAUGGAGCAGAAGGUAGUUUCUUUCUGAGGAGCUUUUAUCUAACCACACAGGUUGAAGAGGAAUAGGAAGGGGUAUAAACAGAAAGGAUAUGUGAUAAAUAUCAUGCUGGCAUUGAAAUUUGAAUAAGUGGCUGGCUGAGGCAUUGCUGAAGAAAAGGCAAAUGGGGAAAAAUCAUAGAAUAUAAUCACAGAGUCAUUUAGGUUGGAAAAGACCUUGAAGAGCAUCGAGUCCAACUGUUAGAAGAGCAGAGGCUACAAGGAGACAAUAGUUGACAGGGAUGAAAAAGGAAGGAAAGUACCUCUGCUAUGGUGAGGGAAAGGCACUGAGGAAGGUGUGUUGGAGCAUGCUAGCUUUUACAACAGGGGAGAAAAUGCUCAGAGUGAAAAUUGAUGUAACCUCUUGACAUUGGUAAGAAUGAUAUUGCAGACCUGCACAGUCCUUGUUGCUUAGGCCAACAUUUGCUGCCAUGGACAGGACUGAGACAUCUUGUUUGGACUUCCUCUGGAGGUGAUAAUUUACUGUCAUGAUGUCUCACACUAAGUGGGCAACAUAAUCCUCAGUUGCACAUCCAGUUCUCAUAACCACUUCACAUUUCAGACAGGAGAACACAGGAUGGUGUCUACAGCUAUAGCUACAGUAAGGGACUGUUCCAUUUAUGCUAAUGACAGAUUCAUGCCUUAACUGUUUCCAGUUUGAAUAACUAUAAAUAUUUCUGUCGCUAUUUGAUGGUCAUCUCAGCAUAAUAUUAGCACUUAGGCCCUUCGUCGGUGCUGAAUGAGGAAAGUUUAGCUUUGUAUUUGCCUGUUGCGUGGCUUCUACUCCAAAAAGUCUUGAGCUUCUGCAAACUCCUUAUUCUUAGGCUCUGCUCAGUGUGUUAGAUUUUGGUCACAGAAAGUAAAAAAGAGACAGUGCUUUUGGGGGAAGGGAGAACUGUAUAAUUUACAAGCUGCAAAAUGACUACAUUAAAAUUUAGGGGAAAAGGAGUGUACUUAUGUACAUAAAAUUCGAGUGCUAGCCAAUAAAGCUAUGUACUUGCCCAUGUGAACUGAACUUCACCAAGAAAUGGUUGGACAUGAAAAAUAGACCGUUUAUGCAACAAAUACUUUUCUGUUUCACAGCAGUUCCAAGAAUGAAUUAGAGGUAGCAAAUUGUUGUCAAUUUUCUUACAGGUAUUCUGUAAACAAUCAAAAGGUUGUAAAGUUAAUAAAAGCAGAGCCAUCUGGAAAUUGUCUCUGAAUUUCCCAGACCUGGCUUCGGUAUAUCACAACAGUAUUUCUGCAGAAAUCCUCCUCAGCCAGUCAGACAGUAUUCUGAAAACAACCUUGUACCGAGAUAAUAUCACUGAGGAUCAGACUAGACUGGGGUGAAGAACAAAUACACAUUUUGCAUUUAUAUACAUAGUGGGAGCAUUAACGAUUCAGCUCCUUAUAGCAAUGUUCAUAACUACAGGUAAAUACUUGCUCUAAAUUCAUCUUCAACCUAUCAUAUUUAAGUAAAAUUCCCUUAGGUUUUCAUAAACCAUCAUGUCACUUUUGCUCCAGUAGUCUGCUAGAGUAAAUUCCACAACAGAAAGUAAAGACAAUUGCACUGUCUCUAGCUUUUGCUAAAGAUACAUGGUUAAACCCUUUCUGAAAUACAAGGACUACUGCUGUAACGAACCCAAACUUCUCCUCUUCCUCCCCAUGCCUGUCUGUUGGAUCAUCAGGAUUACUGUGGAUGGCAGCUGCUACCUCACUUCCUUCUUAAACCUUCUUUCUUAUAACUUUCCCCCACACCCUUUCACUAAGGAUCAUUAUUGUGGAUUAAUUCCUUCUUUCCUCAUAUCUGUAUAUUUCACUGCUACUUUUUCCAAAACAUAUUGAAAGACUUCCCCAUCCUUUCAAUUCACUUGGAUGAUAGCCUCAUCAGUCCUGGUCCAGGCUGCUGAACCUUCUUUUUUUCCAGCUCCUCUUGUGUUGCUUCCGUCUGGUUUUUCCACAGCUCUGCUACUUAGCGUAGCUUUCUUGGUGGAACAUGUCACUUGUUUGUUAAAUUUUUGUUUCCAAUAUAAACGCUUGCUCUUAAACUUCUGGUCUUUAUCACCACCUCAGCUUAAAUCUCAGCACUGAAUCUGUGUCCUAUAUGGAUGCUUCUGUCACCCACUCAUUAUCCUUUAUGUUGUCCUUGACCAUAAAAGUAUUCCCCCAAAUUCCCUAUUAUAUCUGGGUCUGUGUCCUAACCUUAUUCAAAACAUUUUGAAAGAUAGUUUUUCAUAUGAAGGCCACAAUGUUAACUUGUCCUCCCCAACUAAUGAAAAAGAUGCUCAGGUUACUUAAUAAGCAUAGCUGAGUCGUCUUUGAUAGGAGGCAGCUAUGCUCAAAUAUACCAGCAGAGAAACUGGCCAAAAUACAAGGUAAUUUCUUCAUUCAGGGUUUCUUACUGUGCUUUGAUUUAUCUGUGUCUUAUCUUGUGGAGUUUCAGCUGUAAAGGGCAAGAAUUGGCUUUAUCGCUGUACUGAAUACCACUGCUAUGGUCUCAGUUCUUUCAAGCCAGUAAAUAAUGAGAUGCUCAUGAAAUUCUUAGCGGGUGUUGUGUUUUAGCACCUUAUCUGAUUUCAGUGGGAGGUUUACCUGACUAAGACCUUCUGAGAUGCCUCCACAAAGCAGAAUAAUUUCUUGUUCCCCUACCAGGUAACAAAUGCCAGCUUAAUACAUCAACCUAUCAUCACAUAGUUAUGUAUUAUCCAUAGCCAAAAGCCCCUAAUAAUAAAUUCUAAUCUCCUUAGGAUGAUGAAGUAGAAAACUAAUGUGAACUUAUUGCAAAUAAAAAAAAAUUAUUUCCCUAAAAAGCAAGGCUUCUUUAUACCUCAAUAACACAACACUCUUUCCAGCUGUUAGCAUAGAAACUCAGUACCACUCGGUAUCACAUACUUUAUUCUGUUCUAACAAACCUGUUAGUAAAAUAAGCCCUAUAGCUGUUGGAGUGAGGACCGCAGAGUGGGAAAACAUUAUGCCUGGUUCUGCAGUGAAGCUCGUGAAGCUGCAUUGUUAUGACCACGGGCAGAACUGAAGCUGUUUUGUGAAGGAGCACUUGAGCGUGCAGUUUGAAGUGCAACCCUUGUUUUUGCUAACAGGUGAGAGUUUAAUUCAGUUGAAUAGACAAAAAUAGAGGCACUGCAGCCAGACCUGGCUCUUUGUUCCUGGUUCUGCAGUAACAAUUGCCAGAUAUGCAGAAGAGGAAGGUUUAACACAUCCUGUUGGGAAAUGUGGGAAUCAGCUGCUUGAAAGAGAGGCAAGUCCCUUCCAUGUACAGUGAAUGGCUGGGUGAUAUUCUAAAGGGGGUUUGAAUCAUCUGAUAUAAUGUCAGGGAUGUAGCGUCACUGGGUAACACCCCACAGGCCAUACUGUGAAGGACACCAGAUGUGAUGUUCACAAUGGCUCCCAGACUUUCCUUGUCCUAAUUAUUUUUACCUUUUCUCGGAGCACCCAGUCUGGUUUAUUGUCACAACGCAGUGGCACCUUGUGACAUGGACACCCAAAACUCCACUACAAAUGUUCCAUCAUGACUUAUCAUGAUGCAAUGCAAUAAGAGUUAGGUGGUGUCUUGAUAGUAGAGAAUACUGCCCAUGUCUAAUGGAAAAGAGUUUGGCUGAGGGCUAGCUGAAAAAUAAGUAGGGCUAGCUAAAAAACAAAGGUCUAUUUGCCAAAUGUGAAUGGAAUUAAUUCUCUUGUGAUCCACACUGCAGAGUAUGGUGCACAUCUGAUACUUCCUUUAAUAGGAAGGGAAAGCACAUGCCACCAUCUCUUUCUUUCCCAGAUAUCUUCAUCCCCCAUACUAAUUUAAAUAUUUUCUUUUAUCCUGAGUAAGUGUUGAGCCUUGCUAACACGAAACUUCCGUUCCAUUAGAUUUUGUGAUAAUUGGCUUGCUGAUAAUUUGAAGGUUGAUUAGUUUUUUGUUACCUGUGAUUACAAACAGGCACUCUUAAAUGUUGCUUUAGUGCCAAUUUGCUGCUCUAGUCAAGAAUAAUUCAGAUAUUUUCUCUUGUAAUUCAAAGUAACUGCUGAUGGACAGGUAAUCUAGCUGAUGGAUGGACCUAAUACGUGUUCUCUCCUGGUAGGUGGUACCAAAAAAAAAGUUCACGCACCACUCACAGUGGCAGGGCUUUUUAGUUCAGUUAAUUACCAUUUGUUGUUAAUACAUUACAUGCAACCAGCACAUGUAGUCUCCAUUGACCUGUAAGAGGAGUAAUUGCUAUUUUGUAUAGCAUACUGCCCCC
Molecule: long non-coding RNA, 5114 nt
Organism: Falco peregrinus (peregrine falcon)
Lineage: Eukaryota; Metazoa; Chordata; Aves; Falconiformes; Falconidae
Exons: 3
Source: RefSeq, a predicted model, not a curated record